CAUAGAGAAAUUACUGAAUUUAUUUUACUCUUCCUAUUUAUCAGUUUUCUUCUGAAGUAGUUGCAGUUCUUAAAAGGCAAAAGAAGGGUAAGGGAAAGUCUGUAAGAAAAAGAGUGAUGUCGAAGUUUUAAGCAUUCGGACAUAAAGAAAAGGUCUUUUCUCUGUCUUUUGAGACUUAAAGGCAAUGAAUGGUAGGUGGAUAUGAUUCUCCUCAUUUUUAUAGCUAUUGUUUAACUACUACAGUGUUUGUAAAAUGCAUUAAAAAAAUCUUUAUAAUUCUCUUAAGCAGCUUAAAUCCCUUUUCACUUUCCCCAGGCAAAACCUGAUUCACUUGCAUGUUUUUGGGCUCUGACCUUCACAGCACUGAUCUCCCAACAGUAGUAGCCAGUUUCUUAUUCUUUAAGUGCUGGAGGAAUCAUGAAAAAUUCAGACACUGGGUUUCCCUGAGACCAAUCUGGUGGCUUUGUCUUUGUGCUAACUGCUGCUUUCUAUGCAUCAUUCAAAAGGUACAUACUGUUGUCAGCCCCUGAACUGCUACUUGGUGUUAAACAUGAAUAUUUGUAGCUUAGCAAGGGACUAAAUUUAAAAAAAUUAAUAUUUGACAACCUUUGAGAAGGCAUUACUGGCAUGAAACCAUACGAAUGAAAGACUGUAUUUGUGAAAAAUGGAAACUUUCUUCACUGGGGCAGUUUUAAACAUUAUGAGAUCUGUUUCAAAACAGCUCUGGUUGUGGGACUUUCUUCCUGAUGCACAGAUUAUGAUUGUACCAAAGAAAAUACUGUAGUAGAUUUAUUUUUUCCUGUGUACUGCAGGGGGAAAUUCAUUCUGUGCAUGUGCCACUAAUCCUAUCCGACCAGAAAGCAGAGAAAGAUGGCGUAUGGCUUAUUCUGUCUACACAUCAGAGAUAUAUCCAAUGGUAAAAUUGCCUUUUUCCACAUUUCUUAAUUAGAAAUAGAAACGGCUUCUGCUAAUAGAAUCUCUUAUUAAUAACAAAAGGAAUUGCUAGCUCUCUAGUUCAAGUGGCAUAUCUGCAUAACUUAUAGCCUUAAGAGCUUGUAGAGUCACUCACACUCCUGGCAGAAUGCCUUUUACUCUCCCAUAUUAAUGAGUUGUUCUAAAUUUAGUCUACUGUGACAAACUAAUAUUAAUACAGUAUUUUAUGGCCCAGAGCAUUGUUAAUGCAUAAGAAUGAAACACUGAAUCAGAAGAAGGGGAAAGGAGGCAAGAUUACUUAGUAUGAUUGUCAAGAUAUAAGAUAAUCCAACUAUGUAGAUAUUAAGACUUAAAUAUAAUACUCUGCUUAUAGAUUUAUAUUAUGUGAAACAUUUUCUAUUAUUUUAAAUCCUUGCAGUAUUAGUUUCUUAUUUUCAAGGGUUUAUAACUCGGCCAUAAAAAUUCACUCUGGGCUGAAGCUUGGCAUACGAGGUCUUAACCUGGGAGCAUUUUCUUAAGUAAAUUUUCAAACAAAACUGUAUUUGUCUUUGAUAAAAGUGGGACAACAGUCAACAUAUGACUAUAUGUCAUUUUCAUGACAGGUCUCAGAAGACAAUGGAGACUAAUAAGCAAAGCCAAGAAGAGUCUGUAAUAAGAUUUAAUUGCUGGUUUUGUAUUAUUUUCUUUUUUUUAUUUGCAGGGUAUUAACAACAUAUUUGGCAGGUAGUAGCUCUUUAGAUGUCGGAAUUUCUUCUACUGAAGUCAAAGGGAGUUCUGUCACUCUUUGAAGGGGAAGUAGGAUACAGUACUCUAUUUGGUAGCUAUUUUACAGUGAUGAUUUUACUAUCUUAGUCUUUAUCUAAAUAGAUAUUUGCAUGACUAUUAUUUAGAUAUCAUUUUGCAGGAGAAAAAGACUUCCUGCAGAAUUUUUAUAUGAUUUUAAUAGCUGUGUAUUAUAAACAUGCAUGCGCAUACUUACAAAUACAUUUCAUCUUUGCAACCUAAAGCUGUGUCUGAAUAGAGUUAAACCAACUACUUAUGUAACUUAAGAAGAAGAAGAGCAUAUGACCCUAACUCAUGGGAGGAACUGUGCUCCUAACUAUGCCAAGUAUGUAUCAUGCCUGCUAGAAUCCUGCCAGUUGUAAGAUGUACCAUGGAUUUUCAUUGUAAACAGUAAGCAACAGACAGCAGCUGAGCAGAUGUGAAAGCAUAAGGUCAGCAAUGAAUUGUGUAAGGUGCCUGACUACAUCCACCAUUACUGAAAAUCCACCUUAUAUGAGGAGGGAUGGUGAAGUUUUUUGACUAGCUAAUGGCAUAACGUUAGAGGUUUUUUACAAAUAAACUUUCGAAAUGGUAUGCAAAAAGUAACUUUUGCUGUACUUUGGAUCUCUGACCAAAACAUUCGGGAGAUAGAAUUUAACCCUGAAUUGGCUUCUCUUUUCUCAGAUUCAUAUGGAUUAGGAAGUUCUAUCUCCAGUGUUUACAGGGAUAAACAGGUUAGUUAAGGAGUCUUGAGUAAAUGUAAAACUUGAAAAGAAAGGCCUGGGAUGUGCAAUUUCAGUGCACAGUAGGUCUUGGAGGAAGACAGUUCUCUCAACCUCAUUUGGGUCAUGCUCCAGACCUGUCAGGAUGGAAGCUGUCUUUGUAUAGGUGGAGAAAUGUUCCAUUUGACACUAUUCUCAAGGAAAUAUUUAGAAAAAUGAAUCUACUUUAUGGCUGCUGGUGUGAAUCUAACCCAGAUUAGUUAAAUUGCAUCCAGUGCUGUUAUGAUAUGCUCCUUUGAAACAUGAAAAGUAUCUGAAUGCUUGGUGGUGGGAUAGGAACUCUAAUCAGUGUUUCUGUGAGCAGUGACAUAACUUGUAAUUGGUGCCAUUCAGGAAAGAACAAUCUAAUUGCAGUGAAGUUUCCAUGGAUGGGGAACUUACAGAAUCAGCAGGUGUCUGGCUAGCACAGAAGCCCAGCACAAACUGGGUUGUUAACUUUUGUGCUGGUCAGAUAAGAAAAUUUUCUACACAUAAGCAAAUGUGUAGAAAAUAGCAGAGGAAUUAGGAGCCCUUGCUCUGCAGCUCUUUCUGCAGUGCCCCACACUCCAGGAGGAGGGUGAACAUUGGAGUUGGGUGCAUGGUUCUGCCCAGGGCCCCCCUGUCAAACUGAUGACGCUAAGUUUCAUGGGCAGGGCAGAUCCAUGCCUGACUGGGCAGGAGGGAAUAGCAGAAGUUACGUGUAAGUGACACAGCUUGGUUAUCAAGAGAGCAGUGGUAGGGGGCUGUAGCUCACUGGAGGCAGAUUUUAACGAACUGCUUCACUGACUGGGCAGAAUCAUUUCCAGCACAGCUCUCGUUUUGGCACUGACUCAGUCUCCAUAAGACCUCUCUGUGCUGACAGAGAACUACAGGCUAGAAAUUAUCUAAAACUGAUGUAAUUUGGAAUAAAAUCACAAGGACUGGCACUAGGGAUUAGUUGCCUUGCAUAUUGUGUCGCUCAAGUUGUACCCAGCCACUUAGGUGGGUGAGAUGCAGCCAAGGUUUGUUGCAUUCUAUCCCACAGUGUUGGGAGUCUUUCUGCAAGAGCAAAGUUCUGUUUAUUCAGGUUUGCUUCAUUGUGCAGGAUGCCGGUACUUUCCACAUUAUACAAAUUAUGGAGUUCAUUAAUCUCCAUAUGCUAUAAUGAAGUCUGUUUAAGUCUACAGUGCAGUCUAUGGAUUCCUUUUAGUGGGUGUUGGGGGAGCAAUGGAUCAUUUUUUACCUUGCUUUCCCUGCCAGUACUAGGUCUUUACCAAGCACAGCUAAUGAUCCAGCCAGCCAUCUUUGUCCCUGAAUCCUGGUCAUAUACACAUUCACUGGAGAGCAAACAAACUGUCGUUCUGGGGAAGGAGCGUUACUGAGAACUCUUUUGUUGCCUAGAAGGCAGGAUGAAAGAAAGGAAAAUCCAGUCUUCUGUCAAAACUGAAAGUGAUUCCCGUACUUGCUUUACACUCUUACAGAAACGUAAAAUAGGUUAUUGAAACUUCAUGUAUUUAGAUAGUAUUUUGGUCUGUCUUUGGUUUUUGUGUCCUGCUAGCUUUAAUUCCAGUCAUGCAGCUGUGUUCUUGCAUACCCUCAUGAAAAAUCCCUUCAACAGAGUCAUGUCAGAGGUCUAAGGACUGAGUGGCCCGUGGAGGUUGUGAAUGAACAGUCAUUGUCAGUGCAGUGUUUCUGUGCCUCACCUUCAAUAGUUAUUUGCAUGAUACAAAGCCUGGAUCUGCACCUAGCAGAUAUAUUUUACGUGAUAGUGAUUUAUAUUCUGCAGGAAAUAAUCUGAACAGAAACUUAAAUUUUCCAUUUUCGUACAUAAAAUUUUCUCCCUGUUUCUCCUAGUUUGUUGAUUUUGUUGUUGGUUGCUUUUUUUCACCAUUUAUGGCUUUUUUCAGUCGCAGAUAGAAGGAUAAAAUCAAAGGUGUCACACCAAUAGUUUCCAAAAUUUGCCCUGCCUUCAUGCAUCUCUAUUGGCUAGUAUUUCAUUUGAGAAGCUUGAAAGAAGACUAUUUUUCAAGAGUUAAGUGCCAAGCAUCUUCUAAAAGGCAGACCUCUCAAAGCUGUAUGAGGUAACCACUCAGAACAGGAUGCCCUUAGAUUUGCCAGCUCUUCUGAAGACUUGCCAUUCUUUGGCAUUGUUUUCCUUUGCAGUGAAAAUCCUCAGCAUGUUGGUAUUGUGGAAGAAAAAAAAAUUCAAGCAGCUGCCAAGAUCUGGCUAUUUCCCAUGCAUAGAAUGCUGAUACCUCCCAUCUUAUGAAUCAAUAUGUUCCUAAGAUGGAUUGAAGGAUGAGGCUUCAAGCUAAUUCAUAUGACUGCCUAUCCACUGUAGUGGGCAGAGUAUCUAUUUGGUAGCUGUGACUGUAAAAGUAAUUUUUAAUGUUACAUGUUUUAUUUCAUGUACCCUCAAUAAAACACAAGUGUUUUAUUUUUCAGGAAAACACUGGAAGGCACAGCCCUAAAGAAAUGUUUCCAUAUGACCCUAUUACACACAGUCUUUUGGACUGCAGUGAUAAGUGGUGGGUUAUUCUUUUAUUGCUGAAAGAACUUAUUAAGCAUAUGCAAUAUGCAAAAGGAGAAAAGCUGAGCCUUAGAGCAUAUUACCAGUGUGCACUUACAAGAAAAUUAUCCCAUGAAAAACAAACCCCUCUACUUAAAUGCUCCUCAUAAACUAUAAGGCAACUAAUUCUACCUUAAUGGGUGAAAUUACUACUUGAUGGAGAAAUAAAACCAAUACUAUUAAAGUAUUGAGCUAGUGCAAAUGUUAACAGGUUGGAAUCUAUUAAAUGUGUGUUAUUGUGGGAGCUAGAGAGGCUCAGUUUGUGUUGGUGGUUUUUUUUUAAUUAUGGUUUAUGAGAAUUUCCAUUCUUUUUUUCUGAGUCACUUUGUCAGUGCAGUUCUUUUCAUCGAUUGGUAAGAAUCAGAAACUUAAAUUUUGUGUAGGGCAGUGAAGCACGGGAGAUAGCCCUUUCAUGAGGAAAAAUUAUAUGAAUCAAACGUGGUGGUAGACAUUUUUCACUGCACACUCGGGGUUUUGAUACAAUGCCAUUGAACUCUGUUAUCUUGCAGGCUAAUUUAAGGUUCAGAAUUUAAUUCCAAACAGGCUACUUGUAUGAAGAUGGAGAGUCUCAACAGUGGUGAAACAUAUCUUUAAAACUUGACAUGCAAAAUACAAAUAUCUGACGGAAAGAUGCUGGAGAUGCGAAGGAUUCAGAAUACAUGGUUAAAUGGCCUUGGCUUAGGUGAACUCUUUGUAAAUGACAUCUUUGCUGGGAUUCUGUCUGCAUGGCCAAGGUGGAAACCUGAUCCUGAGGAUACAUGUAUGCAGCCUGCAACAAAUGUGCCAAGGACACUCCUGGCUCAGAAGCUGAGCUGUGGUUAAUCACAUUGCACCUCUUGUGGUUCAGACACCGGCUGCCAAGUGUGUGGGCUGACAACUGGUUUAGAGAUGUUUGGAGAACUUAUUUACGUGUAGUGUAAGAUAUCUGCUUCUUCGGUCCUCAUUGCAUGGUUCUGUCUGGGUAAGUGAUGCCUCUGCUCAAGACAUGCCACAAUAAAGGAAGAGGAAGGAACCAUU
Molecule: long non-coding RNA, 6021 nt
Organism: Pseudopipra pipra
Lineage: Eukaryota; Metazoa; Chordata; Aves; Passeriformes; Pipridae
Exons: 3
Source: RefSeq, a predicted model, not a curated record